This 236-nucleotide ribosomal RNA is filed under the name uncultured bacterium. RNAcentral's name for it is "partial 16S ribosomal RNA". It matches the Rfam family "Bacterial small subunit ribosomal RNA", at positions 96 to 334 of the family's 1533-position model. The record is from RNAcentral.
UGGCGGACCGGGUGAGUAAUGUCUGGGAAACUGCCUGAUGGAGGGGGAUAACUACUGGAAACGGUAGCUAAUACCGCAUAACGUCGCAAGACCAAAGAGGGGGACCUUAGGGCCUCUUGCCAUCGGAUGUGCCCAGAUGGGAUUAGCUAGUAGGUGGGGUAAAGGCUCACCUAGGCGACGAUCCCUAGCUGGUCUGAGAGGAUGACCAGCCACACUGGAACUGAGACACGGUCCAG